GAGAGUUUGAUCCUGGCUCAGAUUGAACGCUGGCGGCAUGCCUUACACAUGCAAGUCGAACGGCAGCACGGGAGCAAUCCUGGUGGCGAGUGGCGAACGGGGGAGUAAUAUAUCGGAACGUGCCCAGUCGUGGGGGAUAACGCAGCGAAAGCUGUGCUAAUACCGCAUACGAUCUCUGGAUGAAAGCGGGGGACUCAGCAAUGGGCCUCGCGCGAUUGGAGCGGCCGAUAUCAGAUUAGCUAGUUGGUGGGGUAAAAGCUCACCAAGGCGACGAUCUGUAGCUGGUCUGAGAGGACGACCAGCCACACUGGAACUGAGACACGGUCCAGACUCCUACGGGAGGCAGCAGUGAGGAAUAUUGGACAAUGGGCGCAAGCCUGAUCCAGCCAUGCCGCGUGCAGGAUGACGGUCCUAUGGAUUGUAAACUGCUUUUGUACAGGAAGAAACACUGGUUCGUGAACCAGCUUGACGGUACUGUAAGAAUAAGGAUCGGCUAACUCCGUGCCAGCAGCCGCGGUAAUACGGAGGAUCCAAGCGUUAUCCGGAAUCAUUGGGUUUAAAGGGUCCGUAGGCGGUUUAGUAAGUCAGUGGUGAAAGCCCAUCGCUCAACGGUGGAACGGCCAUUGAUACUGCUAAACUUGAAUUAUUAGGAAGUAACUAGAAUAUGUAGUGUAGCGGUGAAAUGCUUAGAGAUUACAUGGAAUACCAAUUGCGAAGGCAGGUUACUACUAAUGGAUUGACGCUGAUGGACGAAAGCGUGGGUAGCGAACAGGAUUAGAUACCCUGGUAGUCCACGCCGUAAACGAUGGAUACUAGCUGUUGGAAGCAAUUUCAGUGGCUAAGCGAAAGUGAUAAGUAUCCCACCUGGGGAGUACGUUCGCAAGAAUGAAACUCAAAGGAAUUGACGGGGGCCCGCACAAGCGGUGGAGCAUGUGGUUUAAUUCGAUGAUACGCGAGGAACCUUACCAAGGCUUAAAUGUAGAUUAACUUUCCAGAGAUGGAUUGGUGCCUUCGGGAACUUAGAUACAGGUGCUGCAUGGCUGUCGUCAGCUCGUGUCGUGAGAUGUUGGGUUAAGUCCCGCAACGAGCGCAACCCUUUUCCUUAUUUGCCAGCGGGUCAUGCCGGGAACUUUAAGGAUACUGCCAGUGACAAACUGGAGGAAGGCGGGGACGACGUCAAGUCAUCAUGGCCCUUACGGCCAGGGCUACACACGUGCUACAAUGGUCGGUACAAAGGGUUGCUACCUCGCGAGAGGAUGCUAAUCUCAAAAAGCCGAUCGUAGUCCGGAUCGCAGUCUGCAACUCGACUGCGUGAAGUCGGAAUCGCUAGUAAUCGCGGAUCAGAAUGCCGCGGUGAAUACGUUCCCGGGCCUUGUACACACCGCCCGUCACACCAUG
RNAcentral lists this ribosomal RNA (1398 nucleotides) under uncultured bacterium. RNAcentral's name for it is "partial 16S ribosomal RNA". It matches the Rfam family "Bacterial small subunit ribosomal RNA". The record is from RNAcentral.